Molecule: ribosomal RNA, 274 nt
Filed under: uncultured bacterium
Lineage: Bacteria
Description: partial 16S ribosomal RNA
Rfam family: Bacterial small subunit ribosomal RNA
Source: RNAcentral
AUACGGAGGGUGCAAGCGUUACUCGGAAUCACUGGGCGUAAAGCGCGCGCAGGCGGCUAUUUAAGUUGGAUGUGAAAGCCUACGGCUCAACCGUAGAACUGCGUCCAAAACUAUUUAGCUAGAGUGUGGGAGAGGAAGAUGGAAUUAGUUGUGUAGGGGUAAAAUCCGUAGAGAUAACUAGGAAUACCAAAAGCGAAGGCAAUCUUCUGGAACACUACUGACGCUCAGGCGCGAAAGCGUGGGGAGCAAACGGGAUUAGAAACCCUAGUAGUCC